GGGCUGUUAGCUCAGUUGGUUUAGAGCAUCGCCUUGACAGGGCGGGGGUCGACGGUUCGAAUCCGCCACAGCCCA
RNAcentral lists this transfer RNA (75 nucleotides) under Dysgonamonadaceae bacterium. RNAcentral describes it as "tRNA-Val". It matches the Rfam family "tRNA". Rfam says of the family: Transfer RNA (tRNA) molecules are approximately 80 nucleotides in length. Their secondary structure includes four short double-helical elements and three loops (D, anti-codon, and T loops). The record is from RNAcentral. Lineage: Bacteria; Pseudomonadati; Bacteroidota; Bacteroidia; Bacteroidales; Dysgonomonadaceae.